UUUGGUCCAUUUGCAAGGUGGAUUGAUGAAGCGCGGGCCCCCAUGUGCGUGAAGAUUGUGUUUUGGCCCAUUCGCGAAUGGAGAGAGCUUGGGCUGUGCGCUUGGUUCUGUUCACGUGAUUUGAUGAGGUGCGGGCCCCAUGCUGUCCAUUGCGUGAAUGGGCUGAGUGCGGGAAUUGUGCGGGAGUGGGCCAUGCAAUUGCGGAUCCAUGUGCUGUCCACGGGGGAAAUGAGCGCUGAGCCCAUGUGAAUUGGUCCAUUUGCAAGGUGAGCUUGCAUGGGCUGUCCAAGCUUGAAUAUUUAAGCCUCAAAAUAUUUUCCUUUUACUUCAAAUAAGGCAGUUUUAGGGGGUUUUCUCCAAAUUGUCCUUUUACACCAUUUUCUGCAAAAU
Molecule: long non-coding RNA, 390 nt
Filed under: Manihot esculenta (cassava)
Lineage: Eukaryota; Viridiplantae; Streptophyta; Magnoliopsida; Malpighiales; Euphorbiaceae
Description: long non-coding RNA (MESC_LNC011232)
Source: RNAcentral